GGCUUUAUAGUCAACUAUGAUUUUAAAUUGCAAGUUUAAAGGUAAAGAAAAUUUUUUUGGCCU
Molecule: transfer RNA, 63 nt
Filed under: Uloma sp. BMNH 1425257
Lineage: Eukaryota; Metazoa; Arthropoda; Insecta; Coleoptera; Tenebrionidae
Description: tRNA-Cys
Source: RNAcentral